GGAAAAUUAUUUGCCCACUUAGUUUCCUCAGAAACUGUGGAAAUUUGAUCUGGAACGCUGCUGAGUGGAGGUAUACUUACAACAGCCGCCUGCAGAGUUAUGGGUGGAAAAGGGCCAUCUGAAUACUGGAGGCCCGAAGAAUCCAGUCAAAGGUGAAAGACUCGAAGCUCACUGCCCAGUCCUGUUGCAGUCUGUAUCAGGCUACAGACCUAUUGGCUGGUGCCACCUCGCCCCAGGGUGGGCCUUCCCUCUUCAGUAAGUCCUCCCCUGAGGCACACCCAGGACUAUGCCCAGCCAGGCAGCUGGGUGUUUCUUAUUCACAACAAUGAGCUAUCAUACCUGUAGCAAUUUUU
This is a long non-coding RNA of Fukomys damarensis (Damara mole-rat), 353 nucleotides long. RefSeq lists it as uncharacterized. NCBI's taxonomy places the organism in Eukaryota, Metazoa, Chordata, Mammalia, Rodentia, Bathyergidae. The record is from RefSeq and is a predicted model, not a curated record. The transcript is spliced from 3 exons.